GGCAUUAAGCCCUGACGGCGUACCUUUUGUAUAAUGGGUCAGCGAGUUAGUUUAUGUAGCAAGCAUAAGCCGAUAGGUGGAUGCGUAGCGAAAGCGAGUGUUAAUAGCGCGUUAAGUUACAUGAAUUAGACCCGAAACCGAGUGAUCUAGCCAUGAUCAGGUUGAAGGUUGGGUAACACCAACUGGAGGACCGAACCCACUCCCGUUGAAAAGGUAGGGGAUGAAUUGUGGCUAGGGGUGAAAGGCCAAUCAAACUCGGAAAUAGCUGGUUCUCCGCGAAAACUAUUUAGGUAGUGCGGUGAGCGGACACCUUGAGGGGUAGAGCACUGGAAGAGCUAAGGGGGAGCGAUCCUUACUAAACUUUACCAAACUCCGAAUACUCAAGAGUGAUACUCACCAGACAGACAUUAGGUGCUAAGGUCUAGUGUCGAGAGGGAAAGAGCCCAGACCGCCAAUUAAGGUCCCAAAAUUAUGGCUAAGUGGUAAAGGAAGUGAAACGUCCAAAACAGUCAGGAGGUUGGCUUAGAAGCAGCCAUCCUUUAAAGAAAGCGUAAUAGCUCACUGAUCUAAACAAGACGUCUUGCGCCGAAGAUGUAACGGGGCUAAAGCCAUAUACCGAAGUUGCGGAUUUACACGUUAAAGUGUAAGUGGUAGCGGAGCGUUCUGUAAGCCUGCGAAGGUGUACCGUAAGGUAUGCUGGAGGUAUCAGAAGUGAGAAUGCUGACAUGAGUAGCGAAAAGAAGAGUGAGAGACUCUUCCGCUGAAAGUCCAAGGUUUCCUGCGUAAAGCUAAUCUGCGCAGGGUUAGUCGGUCCCUAAGGCGAGGCAGAGAUGCGUAGUCGAUGGCAAUCAGGUUAAUAUUCCUGAACCGGCCCGGAAGUGACGGAUUGAGUAAAUUGUAAGUUCUUAUUGGAUUGAGCUUGCAGUGAAUCAGUCCCAGGAAAUAGCCCGGGCUAAGACCGUACCCGAAACCGACACAGGUGGACAGGUAGAGAAUACCAAAGCGCUUGAGAGAACUAUGUUGAAGGAACUAGGCAAAAUACUUGCGUAACUUCGGGAUAAGCAAGCCCCAUUUUAAGGCAACUUAGGGUGGGGGGCACAUACUAGGGGGUAGCGACUGUUUACUAAAAACACAGGGCUCUGCUAAAUUGAAAGAUGAAGUAUAGGGUCUGACGCCUGCCCGGUGCUGGAAGGUUAAGGAGAGAUGUGCAAGCAUUGAACUGAAGCCCCAGUAAACGGCGGCCGUAACUAUAACGGUCCUAAGGUAGCGAAAUUCCUUGUCGGGU
RNAcentral lists this ribosomal RNA (1285 nucleotides) under human gut metagenome. RNAcentral's name for it is "bacterial LSU rRNA". It matches the Rfam family "Bacterial large subunit ribosomal RNA", at positions 581 to 1977 of the family's 2925-position model. The record is from RNAcentral.